This 429-nucleotide ribosomal RNA is filed under the name Chloroflexota bacterium. RNAcentral's name for it is "Chloroflexi bacterium partial 16S ribosomal RNA". It matches the Rfam family "Bacterial small subunit ribosomal RNA", at positions 355 to 776 of the family's 1533-position model. The record is from RNAcentral. Lineage: Bacteria; Bacillati; Chloroflexota.
UGGGGAAUAUUGCACAAUGGGCGCAAGCCUGAUGCAGCCAUGCCGCGUGUAUGAAGAAGGCCUUCGGGUUGUAAAGUACUUUCAGUCGGGAGGAAGGUGGUAAGGUUAAUAACCUUAUCAAUUGACGUUACCGACAGAAGAAGCACCGGCUAACUCCGUGCCAGCAGCCGCGGUAAUACGGAGGGUGCAAGCGUUAAUCGGAAUUACUGGGCGUAAAGCGCACGCAGGCGGUUGAUUGAGUCAGAUGUGAAAUCCCCGGGCUUAACCCGGGAAUUGCAUCUGAUACUGGUCAGCUAGAGUCUUGUAGAGGUGGGUAGAAUUCCAUGUGUAGCGGUGAAAUGCGUAGAGAUGUGGAGGAAUACCGGUGGCGAAGGCGGCCCCCUGGACAAAAACUGACGCUCAGGUGCGAAAGCGUGGGGAGCAAACAGG